UUGUGAAAAGGGGAAUGAUUAGUUUGAUCGCCGAGAUAAUGGCACCUUUAAGUAUUAGCUCUAUUUGAUCAUUC
Non-coding RNA from Arabidopsis thaliana x Arabidopsis arenosa, 74 nucleotides. The record is from the annotation of a GenBank genome assembly. Lineage: Eukaryota; Viridiplantae; Streptophyta; Magnoliopsida; Brassicales; Brassicaceae.